RNAcentral lists this ribosomal RNA (480 nucleotides) under uncultured bacterium. RNAcentral describes it as "partial 16S ribosomal RNA". It matches the Rfam family "Bacterial small subunit ribosomal RNA", at positions 28 to 507 of the family's 1533-position model. The record is from RNAcentral.
GAUGAACGCUAGCGGCAGGCCUAACACAUGCAAGUCGAGGGAGAGGUUACCUUCGGGUACCCAACACCGGCGCACGGGUGCGUAACGCGUAUACAAUCUGCCUUUCACAUAGGGAUAGCCCGAAGAAAUUUGGAUUAAUACCUAAUGGUAUAUAAGAGCGGCAUCGUUUUUAUAUUAAAGCUACGGUGGUGAAAGAUGAGUAUGCAUUCUAUUAGCUAGUUGGAGAGGUAACGGCUCCCCAAGGCGACGAUAGAUAGGGGUUCUGAGAGGGAUGUCCCCCACACUGGUACUGAGAUACGGACCAGACUCCUACGGGAGGCAGCAGUGAGGAAUAUUGGACAAUGGUCGGAAGACUGAUCCAGCCAUGCCGCGUGCAGGAUGAAGGUCCUAUGGAUUGUAAACUGCUUUUGUAAGGGAAGAAUAAGGAGUACGUGUACUUUGAUGACGGUACCUUACGAAUAAGCAUCGGCUAACUCCGUG